This 253-nucleotide ribosomal RNA is filed under the name uncultured bacterium. RNAcentral's name for it is "partial 16S ribosomal RNA". It matches the Rfam family "Bacterial small subunit ribosomal RNA", at positions 524 to 776 of the family's 1533-position model. The record is from RNAcentral.
UACAGAGGUUGCAAGCGUUAAUCGGAAUUACUGGGCGUAAAGCGCGCGUAGGUGGCAAGUUAAGUCGGAUGUGAAAUCCCUGGGCUCAACCUAGGAAUUGCAUUCGAUACUGGCUCGCUCGAGUUUGGUAGAGGAGAGUGGAAUUCCCGGUGUAGCGGUGAAAUGCGCAGAUAUCAGGAGGAACACCGAUGGCGAAGGCAGGUCUCUGGGCCAUUACUGACGCUGAGAAGCGAAAGCAUGGGGAGCGAACAGG